RNAcentral lists this ribosomal RNA (301 nucleotides) under uncultured bacterium. Its description in RNAcentral is "partial 16S ribosomal RNA". It matches the Rfam family "Bacterial small subunit ribosomal RNA", at positions 509 to 807 of the family's 1533-position model. The record is from RNAcentral.
CAGUAGCCGCGGGAAUACGUAGGGUGCAAGCGUUAAUCGGAAUUACUGGGCGUAAAGCGUGCGCAGGCGGUUUGUUAAGACAGAUGUGAAAUCCCCGGGCUCAACCUGGGAACUGCAUUUGUGACUGGCAGGCUAGAGUAUGGCAGAGGGGGGUGGAAUUCCGCGUGUAGCAGUGAAAUGCGUAGAUAUGCGGAGGAACACCGAUGGCGAAGGCAGCCCCCUGGGCCAAUACUGACGCUCAUGCACGAAAGCGUGGGGAGCAAACAGGAUUAGAUACCCCCGUAGUCCCUGUCUCUUAUAC